This 253-nucleotide ribosomal RNA is filed under the name uncultured bacterium. Its description in RNAcentral is "partial 16S ribosomal RNA". It matches the Rfam family "Bacterial small subunit ribosomal RNA", at positions 524 to 776 of the family's 1533-position model. The record is from RNAcentral.
GACAGAGGGUGCAGACGUUGCUCGGAAUUACUGGGCGUAAAGCGCGUGUAGGUGGAUUGGUGUGUCAGAUGUGAAAUCCCUGGGCUCAACCCAGGAACUGCACCUGAAACUACCAGUCUUGAGUGGUGGAGAGGGAAGUGGAAUUCCUGGUGUAGAGGUGAAAUUCGUAGAUAUCAGGAGGAACACCAGUGGCGAAGGCGGCUUCCUGGACACCAACUGACGCUGAGACGCGAAAGCGUGGGGAGCAAACAGG